RNAcentral lists this ribosomal RNA (253 nucleotides) under uncultured bacterium. RNAcentral describes it as "partial 16S ribosomal RNA". It matches the Rfam family "Bacterial small subunit ribosomal RNA", at positions 524 to 776 of the family's 1533-position model. The record is from RNAcentral.
UACGUAGGGGGCGAGCGUUGCCCGAAUUUACUGGGCGUAAAGCGCACGUAGGCGGCUCCGUAAGUCUGGUGUGAAAUCUCACGGCUCAACCGAGAGGCUGCACCAGAUACUGCGGGGCUCGAGGACGGGAGAGGAGAUUGGAAUUCCCGGUGUAGCGGUGAAAUGCAUUGAUAUCGGGAGGAACACCAGUGGCGAAGGCGGAUCUCUGGCCCGUUGCUGACGCUGAGGUGCGAAAGCGGGGGGAGCUAAAGGG